GUCGCAAGCGGGUCCAUAGCUGGGGGCAGGGGGGUGUGCGUGCCCACAUGAGUGCGAGCGGGGGUUGGAGAGUCUGACUGGUCCCCCGCUUCCUAAGGGUCCCGGCGCCCAGCCUUAGAUCGGCAGGAAGUGGCUGCUGGUACGCGGCGGUGCUCCAAGCUUACGGUGCUCGGAUCGACUGAUUACUCUUUUUUAUGGUUUUACUGUGUAAUAAAAGUGUGUGU
Molecule: long non-coding RNA, 224 nt
Organism: Brienomyrus brachyistius
Lineage: Eukaryota; Metazoa; Chordata; Actinopteri; Osteoglossiformes; Mormyridae
Exons: 2
Source: RefSeq, a predicted model, not a curated record